AAUUUAAUGGCCGCGGUAUUUUGACCGUGCAAAGGUAGCAUAAUCAUUAGCUCAUUAAUUGUGGGAUUGUAUGAAUGGUUGGACGAGAUAUUGACUGUUUCAUAUUUAUUAUUAGAAUUUAAUUUUUGAGUUAAAAAGCUUAAAUUUUUUUAAAGGACGAGAAGACCCUAUAGAUCUUUAUUUCCUUAUUUAUUUUGUUUUGUUAUUUAUAUAUUUAUUGGAUUUUUGGUUGGGGUGACUUUAAGAUAUAAUUAACUCUUAUUUUUUUUUUUUCAUUUAUUUAU
This 284-nucleotide ribosomal RNA is filed under the name Phyllium bradleri. Its description in RNAcentral is "partial large subunit ribosomal RNA". Lineage: Eukaryota; Metazoa; Arthropoda; Insecta; Phasmatodea; Phylliidae. The record is from RNAcentral.